AUUGAACGCUGGCGGCAUGCUUUACACAUGCAAGUCGAACGGCAGCGCGGGGCAACCUGGCGGCGAGUGGCGAACGGGUGAGUAAUAUAUCGGAACGUACCCAAGAGUGGGGGAUAACGUAGCGAAAGUUACGCUAAUACCGCAUACGAUCUAAGGAUGAAAGUGGGGGAUCGCAAGACCUCAUGCUCCUGGAGCGGCCGAUAUCUGAUUAGCUAGUUGGUGAGGUAAAGGCUCACCAAGGCGACGAUCAGUAGCUGGUCUGAGAGGACGACCAGCCACACUGGAACUGAGACACGGUCCAGACUCCUACGGGAGGCAGCAGUGGGGAAUUUUGGACAAAGGGCGCAAGCCUGAUCCAGCAAUGCCGCGUGAGUGAAGAAGGCCUUCGGGUUGUAAAGCUCUUUUGUCAGGGAAGAAACGGUAGAGGCUAAUAUCCUUUGCUAAUGACGGUACCUGAAGAAUAAGCACCGGCUAACUACGUG
This 482-nucleotide ribosomal RNA is filed under the name uncultured bacterium. RNAcentral's name for it is "partial 16S ribosomal RNA". It matches the Rfam family "Bacterial small subunit ribosomal RNA", at positions 30 to 507 of the family's 1533-position model. The record is from RNAcentral.